UACGGGGGGGGCAAGCGUUGUUCGGAAUUACUGGGCGUAAAGGGCGCGUAGGCGGCUCAUUAAGUCAGGGGUGAAAUCCUGGAGCUCAACUCCAGAACUGCCUUUGAUACUGAAGAUCUUGAGUUCGGGAGAGGUGAGUGGAACUGCGAGUGUAGAGGUGAAAUUCGUAGAUAUUCGCAAGAACACCAGUGGCGAAGGCGGCUCACUGGCCCGAUACUGACGCUGAGGCACGAAAGCGUGGGGAGCAAACAGG
Molecule: ribosomal RNA, 253 nt
Filed under: uncultured bacterium
Lineage: Bacteria
Description: partial 16S ribosomal RNA
Rfam family: Bacterial small subunit ribosomal RNA
Source: RNAcentral